UGAGUACAAACCCUGCCAUCGAGAGUCCCUUGGCGUCCUGUUCAUUUAAAUACAUUGAAAAUAAGUGAGAUAUAGUUUAAUAAUGUUCCUUUCUGCAAGAAGCAGUAGCCUAAUCAAGCACAGAAACAUUGGUUAACAAGCUUAAUGUAUUGAAGUUCUUGUACAAAUGAAAAGCUACGUAAAUGACCCAAAAGCUACGUAAUCACAA
RNAcentral lists this long non-coding RNA (208 nucleotides) under Panax ginseng (ginseng). RNAcentral's name for it is "long non-coding RNA (PGIN_LNC003441)". Lineage: Eukaryota; Viridiplantae; Streptophyta; Magnoliopsida; Apiales; Araliaceae. The record is from RNAcentral.